RNAcentral lists this ribosomal RNA (251 nucleotides) under uncultured bacterium. RNAcentral describes it as "partial 16S ribosomal RNA". It matches the Rfam family "Bacterial small subunit ribosomal RNA", at positions 57 to 305 of the family's 1533-position model. The record is from RNAcentral.
GCAAGUCGAGGGGUAACAUUGUAGCUUGCUACAGAUGACGAGUGGCGCACGGGUGCGUAACGCGUAUGCAACCUACCUUUUACUGAGGGAUAGCCCAGAGAAAUUUGGAUUAACACCUCAUAGUAUUAUAAGAUGGCAUCAUCUAAUAAUUAAACAUUUAUGGGUAAAAGAUGGCUAUGCGUUCUAUUAGCUAGAUGGUAAGGUAACGGCUUACCAUGGCAACGAUAGAUAGGGGUCCUGAGAGGGAGAUC